Molecule: ribosomal RNA, 1489 nt
Filed under: metagenome
Description: bacterial SSU rRNA
Rfam family: Bacterial small subunit ribosomal RNA
Source: RNAcentral
AGAGUUUGAUCCUGGCUCAGGAUGAACGCUGGCGGCGUGCUUAACACAUGCAAGUCGAACGAAGAGGCAUAGAGGAAGUUUUCGGAUGGAAUCAAUGAAUCUUAGUGGCGGACGGGUGAGUAACGUGUGGGCAACCUGCCCUUUACAGGGGAAUAAUCAUUGGAAACGAUGACUAAUACCGCAUGUCAACACGAGGAGGCAUCUUCUUGUGAGAAAAGGAGGAAUCCGGUAAAGGAUGGGCCCGCAUCUGAUUAGCUAGUUGGUGAGAUAAUAGCCCACCAAGGCGACGAUCAGUAGCCGACCUGAGAGGGUGAUCGGCCACAUUGGGACUGAGACACGGCCCAAACUCCUACGGGAGGCAGCAGUGGGGAAUAUUGCACAAUGGGGGAAACCCUGAUGCAGCAACGCCGCGUGAAGGAAGACGGUUUUCGGAUUGUAAACUUCUAUCGACAGGGAAGAAGAAAGUGACAGUACCUGAAUAAGAAGCCCCGGCUAACUACGUGCCAGCAGCCGCGGUAAUACGUAGGGGGCAAGCGUUAUCCGGAAUUACUGGGUGUAAAGGGUGAGUAGGCGGCAUGGUAAGCCAGAUGUGAAAGCCCGCAGCUUAACUGCGGGAUUGCAUUUGGAACUACUAAGCUAGAGUACAGGAGAGGAAAGCGGAAUUCCUAGUGUAGCGGUGAAAUGCGUAGAUAUUAGGAAGAACACCGGUGGCGAAGGCGGCUUUCUGGACUGAAACUGACGCUGAGGCACGAAAGCGUGGGGAGCGAACAGGAUUAGAUACCCUGGUAGUCCACGCCGUAAACGAUGAGCGCUAGGUGUCGGGGAGGAAUCCUCGGUGCCGCAGCAAACGCAAUAAGCGCUCCACCUGGGGAGUACGAUCGCAAGAUUGAAACUCAAAGGAAUUGACGGGGGCCCGCACAAGCGGUGGAGCAUGUGGUUUAAUUCGAAGCAACGCGAAGAACCUUACCAAGGCUUGACAUCCCGCUGACCGCUCUAGAGAUAGAGUUUCUCUUCGGAGCAGCGGAGACAGGUGGUGCAUGGUUGUCGUCAGCUCGUGUCGUGAGAUGUUGGGUUAAGUCCCGCAACGAGCGCAACCCUUAUCGUUAGUAGCCAGUAUUAAGUUAGGCACUCUAAUGAGACUGCCGUGGAUAACACGGAGGAAGGUGGGGAUGACGUCAAAUCAUCAUGCCCCUUAUGUCUUGGGCAACACACGUGCUACAAUGGCCGGAACAAAGUGAGGCAAGACGGUGACGUUAAGCAAAACACAAAAAACCGGUCCCAGUUCGGAUUGUAGUCUGCAACUCGACUAUAUGAAGCCGGAAUCGCUAGUAAUCGCGAAUCAGCAUGUCGCGGUGAAUACGUUCCCGGGCCUUGUACACACCGCCCGCCACACCAUGGGAGUUGGAAGCACCCGAAGUCGAUGACCUGACCGCAAGGAGGGAGUCGCCUAAGGUGAAGCCAGUGACUGGGGUGAAGUCGUAACAAGGUA